GCUACACUGAGAAUUUCUAAGUGCUAAUUUGCAAGAAAACAAAUGUCACACUAGGAGGAUGAGAGUGACCAGGGAUAAGUGGAAACAGCUGAAGGAAGUCAGAAAGACAAUUUAUAGCCUAUUCCCCGUGGACAUUCCUGACACAUGAUCACAGUGAAGCUAAAUGUGAAGUCAGCACUGAUGAUCCUGAUUGGCAGUUGACAGUAAAAAGAGUAGCUGAAGAACAACGGCACACUUACACUGGUCCCAGGGAAUAUACCCACAAGAACUAAUCUCGCAAAACUUAUAGAGGAAAAAAAUGGAGAAAAUAGUUGCUUUUGUAUCGGAGUUGAAAAGGAUUUAAUGGUUGCAGGCCAAUUUUCCAAAAAUCGCCCUAUUCUUUUCUCCGAUGCACGGAGCAAAUGAAAUGACUCAUACACAAUUUGAGAUUGAAUCCCCUUCAAAAUGAGGGAAAAGCUUGGUGCACAAUUAGUUUUCCAAUUCUUUAAAAUAUAAUAUCUGACUAUCAA
Long non-coding RNA from Bombina bombina (fire-bellied toad), 509 nucleotides. RefSeq lists it as uncharacterized. Lineage: Eukaryota; Metazoa; Chordata; Amphibia; Anura; Bombinatoridae. The record is from RefSeq and is a predicted model, not a curated record. The transcript has 4 exons.